UACGUAGGUGGCAAGCGUUAUCCGGAAUUAUUGGGCGUAAAGAGCGCGCAGGUGGUUAAUUAAGUCUGAUGUGAAAGCCCACGGCUUAACCGUGGAGGGUCAUUGGAAACUGGUUGACUUGAGUGCAGAAGAGGGAAGUGGAAUUCCAUGUGUAGCGGUGAAAUGCGUAGAGAUAUAGAGGAACACCAGUGGCGAAGGCGGUUUACUGGACCACAACUGACGCUGAGACACGAAAGCGUGGGGAGCAAACAGG
This 253-nucleotide ribosomal RNA is filed under the name uncultured Eubacteriales bacterium. Its description in RNAcentral is "uncultured Clostridiales bacterium partial 16S ribosomal RNA". It matches the Rfam family "Bacterial small subunit ribosomal RNA", at positions 524 to 776 of the family's 1533-position model. The record is from RNAcentral. Lineage: Bacteria; Bacillati; Bacillota; Clostridia; Eubacteriales.